AUGAACGCUAGCGGUGCGCCUAACACAUGCAAGUCGAGCGGGAUUAGAGGGCUUGCUCUCUAAUUUAGCGGCAAACGGGUGCGUAACACGUUGAUACUUCCCCCAAAGUGAGGAAUAGCCUCGAGAAAUCGAGAGUAAUACCGCAUACGCCUUAGGGUAAAAGCAGUAAUGCGCUAUGGGAAAGGUCUGCGGCCUAUCAGCUAGUUGGUGAGGUAAUGGCUCACCAAGGCGAUGACGGGUAGCUGGUCUGAGAGGACGACCAGCCACAAUGGAACUGCGACACGGUCCAUACUCCUACGGGAGGCAGCAGUGAGGAAUCUUCCACAAUGGGCGAAAGCCUGAUGGAGCGACACCGCGUGAAGGAUGAAGCCUUUGUUGGUGUAAACUUCUUUUCUCUGGGAAGAUAAUGACGGUACCAGAGGAAUAAGGGGCGGCAAACUUCGU
Molecule: ribosomal RNA, 444 nt
Filed under: uncultured bacterium
Lineage: Bacteria
Description: bacterial SSU rRNA
Rfam family: Bacterial small subunit ribosomal RNA
Source: RNAcentral